Molecule: ribosomal RNA, 3372 nt
Filed under: Capsicum annuum
Lineage: Eukaryota; Viridiplantae; Streptophyta; Magnoliopsida; Solanales; Solanaceae
Description: eukaryotic LSU rRNA
Rfam family: Eukaryotic large subunit ribosomal RNA (bases 388-3346)
Source: RNAcentral
AUGACUCUCGGCAACAGAUAUCUCAACUCUCGCAUCGAUGAAGAACAUAGCAAAAUACGAUACUUAGUAUGAAUUGUAGAAUCCCAUGAACCGUAGAGUAUUUGAACACAAGUUGUGCCCGAAGAUAUUAGGUCGAGGGCACGUCUGCCUGGGCAUCAUGCAUUGCGUCGCCCCCUCGUAUCGUGCCGCAAUAACGGGGCUUGCUCUUGUUGUGGGGCGGAUACUGGCCUCCCGUGCACCUCGAGGUCGUGGCUGGCCUAAAUGUGAGUCCACAUCAAUGGACGUCACAGAAAGUGGUGGUUGUAUCUCAACUCUCUUUGUUGUCACGGCAAUAGCCCGUCGCGCGUUCGGACUCCAGGACCCUUUUGCGCUUAGGCACUCCGAACGCGACCCCAGGUCAGGCAGGAUUAUCUACUGAGUUUAAGCAUAUCAAUAAGUGGAGGAAAAUAAACUUACAAGGAUUCCCUUAGUAACGGCGAGUGAACCGGGAAUAGCCCAGCCUUAGAAUUGGGCGGAUCCAUCAUCCGAAUUGUAGUUUGGAGAAGCGUCCUCAAUGGCGGACUAGACCCAAGUCCCCUGGAAGGGGGCACCAGAGAGGGUAAGAUCCCCAUUAUGCCCGGACCCUAUUGCACCACGAGGCACUGUCUACAAGUUGGGUUGUUUGGGAAUGCAACCCAAAUUAGGUGGUGAAUUCUGUCCAAGGCUAAAUACGGGCGACUGACCGAUAGCAAACAAGUACCACAAGGGAAAGAUGAAAAGGACUUUGAAAAGAGAGUCAAAGAGUGAUUGAAAUUAUUGGAAGGAAAGUGGAUGGGGCCGGCGAUGCACCCCGGUCGGAUGUGGAAUGGAGACGAGCCGCUUCGCCGAUCGACUUGGGGCAUGGACCAGCGUGGAUUGGGGGGCGUCCAAAGCCUGGGCUCUCGGUAUGCUCGUGGAAUGCCGUAUCCUCGAUUGUGGAAGGUAGCGCGCACCUUCGGCGUGCUUCGGUAUCUGUGAGCUAUGGACGCUUGCCUGUAGGCUCCCUAUUCAACCCGUCUUGAAAACAGAUGAAGGAGUCUGACAUGUGUGCGAGUCACGAGCGAGUUAACCCGUAAGGCAUAAGGAAGCUGAUUGGUGGUAUCCCCCCAAGGGUUGCACCGCUGACCGACCUUUAUCUUCUGAGAAAGGUUCGAGUGUGAGUAUAUCUGUUGGGACCCGAAAGAUGGUGAACUAUGCCUGAGCGGGGCGAAGCCAGAGGAAACUCUGCUGGAGGCCCGCAGCGAUACUGACAUGUAAAUCAUCCCUCUGACUUGGGUGUAGGGCCCGCAGCUGCUUUGUUGAGCUGUGCUUUGGAAUCAAGAGCUCCAAGUGGGCCAUUUUUGGUAAGCAGAACUGGCGAUGUAGGAUAAACUGAAAGCCGGGUUACUCUGCCAAACUGCAUGCAAACCUAGAUCCCACAAAGGGUGUUGGUCGAUUAAGAUAGAAGGACGGUGGUCAUUGAAGUCAAAAUCCACUAAGAAGUGUGUAACAACUCACCUGCCGAAUAAACUAGCCCUGAAAAUGGAUGGCGCUUAAGCGUACGACCUACACCCGGCCGUCCGGGAAAGUUCCGGGCUUGAUGAGUAGGAGGCCAUUGGUGCAGAUAUUGAUGGAAGUAACAAAUAUUCAAAUGAGAACUUUGAAGGACGAAGAGGGGAAUGGUUCCAUGUGAACGACACUUGCACAUGGGUUAGUCGAUCCUAAGGGUCGGGGAAACCCUGACAGAUAGCGCAUUUUGCCCGUACUCUGAAAGUGAAUCGGGUUAAAAUUCUUGGACCGAGAUGUGGAGGUCGACGACAAUUUUAGGAAGUCUAUAGACAUUGCUAGGAGCCUUAGGAAGAGUUAUCUUUUCUAUUUAACAGCCUGCCUACCCUGGAAUCUGCUCAGCCGGAGGUAGGGUGCAGCGGCUGGAAGAGCACCGCACAUCGCGCGGUGUCCGGUGCACUUCUGGCGGCCCUUGAAAACCCAAAGGACUGAAUGCCGUCGACACCAGGUCAUACUCAUAACCACAUCAGGUCUCCAAGGGGAACAACCUCUGGUCGAUGGAAUAAUGUAGGCAAUGAAAGUCGGCAAAAUGGAUCCUAACUUCUAGAGAAGGAUAGUACUGAGGGCGGGGCACGAGGAUCCCAGUCCCGAACUCAUCAGCUAUCAGUGGACUACUCGAGCUUCUCCUAAAAUGAGAGUGGAUCUUCGUAUGCCAGUUGGGGGACAGACUGGAAACGGUUCCUUUAAGGGCCUUUCCCGCGCGUCGAACAGAUAACUCAGAACUAGUAUAAAAAAGGGAAAUCCGACUCUCUUAAGGUAUCCAAAUGCCUUGUCAUCUAAUUAGUGACGCACAUGAAUAGAUUAAUGAGAUUCUCAUUAUCCCUGUCUACUAUCCAGCGAAACCACAGCCAAGGGAACGGGCUUGGCAGAAUCAGCGAGGAAAAAAGACCCUUUUGAGCUUGACUCUACCCCGACUUUGUGAAAUGACUUAAGAGGUGUAGUAUAAGUGGGAGCCGAAAGGAGAAAGUGAAAUACCACUACUUUUAACAUUAUUUUACUUAUUUCGUGAUUUGGAAGCAGGGCACUGCCCCUCUUUUUGGACCCAAGGCUCGUUCUGCAGGCCGAUACAAGCGGAUGACAUUGUCAGGUGGGGAGUUUGGCUAGAGCGGCACAUCUGUUAAAAGAUAACGCAGGUGUCCUAAGAUGAGCUCAACGAGAAUAGAAAUAUCGUGUGGAAUAAAAGGGUAAAAGCUCUUUUGAUUCUGAUUUCUAGUACGAAUAUGAACCAUUAAAGCGUGGCCUAACGAUUCUUUAGACCUUCAGAAUUCGAAGCUAGAGGUGUCAGGAAAGUGUUACCACAGGGAUAACUGGCCUGUUGCAGCCAAGCGUUCAUAGCUAUAUUGCAUUUUCAUCCUUCGAUGUCGGCUCUUCCUAUCAUUGAGAAGUAGAAUUCACCAAGUUUUGGACUGUCCACCCACCAAUAGGGUACGUGAGCUGGGCUUAGAACAUUAUGAGAUAGGUUAGUUUUACCCUACUUAAAAUAGUUUUGCAGUAGUAAUUCAACCUAGUAAGAGAGGAAAUAUUGAUUCACACAAUUUGCCAUCGCACUUGGUUGAAAAGCCAGUGGCACAAAGCUACUGUGUGCUGGAUUAUGACUGAACACCUCUAAGUUAGAAUCUGGGCUGGAUUAUCAAGUUUUAUCGAUCGCUUUUCGCCCCUCGCAUUUCGUGCACAGGGUGAAUAUAAAGAUCGCCCUCGUAUCCUACGUCUUCCUGGCUUCGUCGUGCAGUCAUGGUCCAUGAGCGGCGGUCAGGGGGUAUUUAUUGACUUCUAUCUGCCCCGUACCUUGAAUCUGUCUGCGUUCUCAUG